Molecule: transfer RNA, 67 nt
Filed under: Aeolothrips xinjiangensis
Lineage: Eukaryota; Metazoa; Arthropoda; Insecta; Thysanoptera; Aeolothripidae
Description: tRNA-Leu
Source: RNAcentral
AUCAAGUUGGCAGAAAUAAUGCAUUAGGCUUAGAACUUAACUAUAUAAAAUAAUUUUAUACUUGAUA